GACGAACGCUGGCGGCGUGCUUAACACAUGCGAGUCGAACGGAAAGGCCCUGCUUUUGUGGGGUUCUCGAGUGGCGAACGGGUGAGUAACACGUGAGUAACCUGCCCUUGACUUUGGGAUAACUUCAGGAAACUGGGGCUAAUACCGUAUAGGAGCUCCUGCUGCAUGGUGGGGGUUGGAAAGUUUCGGCGGUUGGGGAUGGACUCGCGGCUUAUCAGCUUGUUGGUGGGGUAGUGGCUUACCAAGGCUUUGACGGGUAGCCGGCCUGAGAGGGUGACCGGCCACAUUGGGACUGAGAUACGGCCCAGACUGCUACGGGAGGCAGCAGUGGGGAAUAUUGCACAAUGGGCGGAAGCCUGAUGCAGCAACGCCGCGUGCGGGAUGACGGCCUUCGGGUUGUAAACCGCUUUCGCCUGUGACGAAGCGUGAGUGACGGUAAUGGGUAAAGAAGCACCGGCUAACUACGUG
RNAcentral lists this ribosomal RNA (468 nucleotides) under uncultured bacterium. RNAcentral's name for it is "partial 16S ribosomal RNA". It matches the Rfam family "Bacterial small subunit ribosomal RNA", at positions 28 to 507 of the family's 1533-position model. The record is from RNAcentral.